RNAcentral lists this microRNA (23 nucleotides) under Homo sapiens (human). RNAcentral describes it as "hsa-miR-5589-3p". The record is from miRBase by way of RNAcentral. Lineage: Eukaryota; Metazoa; Chordata; Mammalia; Primates; Hominidae.
UGCACAUGGCAACCUAGCUCCCA